This 380-nucleotide ribosomal RNA is filed under the name uncultured Mycobacterium sp. Its description in RNAcentral is "bacterial SSU rRNA". It matches the Rfam family "Bacterial small subunit ribosomal RNA", at positions 524 to 902 of the family's 1533-position model. Lineage: Bacteria; Bacillati; Actinomycetota; Actinomycetes; Mycobacteriales; Mycobacteriaceae. The record is from RNAcentral.
UACGUAGGGUGCGAGCGUUGUCCGGAAUUACUGGGCGUAAAGAGCUCGUAGGUGGUUUGUCGCGUUGUUCGUGAAAUCUCACGGCUUAACUGUGAGCGUGCGGGCGAUACGGGCAGACUAGAGUACUGCAGGGGAGACUGGAAUUCCUGGUGUAGCGGUGGAAUGCGCAGAUAUCAGGAGGAACACCGGUGGCGAAGGCGGGUCUCUGGGCAGUAACUGACGCUGAGGAGCGAAAGCGUGGGGAGCGAACAGGAUUAGAUACCCUGGUAGUCCACGCCGUAAACGGUGGGUACUAGGUGUGGGUUUCCUUCCUUGGGAUCCGUGCCGUAGCUAACGCAUUAAGUACCCCGCCUGGGGAGUACGGCCGCAAGGCUAAACUC